GAUGAAGAACGCAGCGAAAUGCGAUAAGUAAUGUGAAUUGCAGAAUUCAGUGAAUCAUCGAAUCUUUGAACGCACAUUGCGCCCGCCAGUAUUCUGGCGGGCAUGCCUGUCCGAGCGUCAUUUCAACCCUCAGGCCCUGGUUGCCUGGUGUUGGGGCGCCGCGCACCCUCUGCGGGCGCGGGCCCCGAAAGUCAGUGGCGGGCUCGCCAGGACUCCGAGCGCAGUAAUUUUCUCUCGCUGUGGAGCGCCUGGUGGGUUACCAGCCGUAAAACACCCCAAAUUCUAAAGGUUGACCUCGGAUCAGGUAGGAAUACCCGCUGAACUUAAGCAUAUCAUAAGCGGAGGA
This 346-nucleotide unclassified non-coding RNA is filed under the name soil metagenome. RNAcentral describes it as "partial contains 5.8S ribosomal RNA, internal transcribed spacer 2, and large subunit ribosomal RNA". The stretch from base 1 to 120 matches the Rfam family "5.8S ribosomal RNA", at positions 35 to 154 of the family's 154-position model. The record is from RNAcentral.